RNAcentral lists this ribosomal RNA (301 nucleotides) under uncultured bacterium. RNAcentral's name for it is "partial 16S ribosomal RNA". It matches the Rfam family "Bacterial small subunit ribosomal RNA", at positions 509 to 807 of the family's 1533-position model. The record is from RNAcentral.
CAGCCGCCGCGGUAAUACAGAGGGUGCGAGCGUUAAUCGGAUUUACUGGGAGUAAAGCGUGCGUAGGCGGCUUCUUAAGUCGGAUGUGAAAUCCCUGAGCUUAACUUAGGAAUUGCAUUUGAUACUGGGAAGCUAGAGUAUGGGAGAGGAUGGUAGAAUUCCAGGUGUAGCGGUGAAAUGCGUAGAGAUCUGGAGGAAUACCGAUGGCGAAGGCAGCCAUCUGGCCUAAUACUGACGCUGAGGUACGAAAGCAUGGGGAGCAAACAGGAUUAGAUACCCCCGUAGUCCCUGUCUCUUAUAC